Long non-coding RNA from Saccostrea echinata, 537 nucleotides. RefSeq lists it as uncharacterized. NCBI's taxonomy places the organism in Eukaryota, Metazoa, Mollusca, Bivalvia, Ostreida, Ostreidae. The record is from RefSeq and is a predicted model, not a curated record. The transcript is spliced from 3 exons.
AACGGUUUUAUUGACCCGCAGAGAAAAAGGAGCAGUCAGAAAAAUGAUCCAACAUUUUCAAAAAACAAGGCAGAGCAGAAUCUUUUUGUUUGUCAUGCCGAAAUGAAUGCUGUUAUAAAUAGACAUGGGACAAGUUUAAAAGACUGUAUCGUGUAUGUUACACUGUUUCCAUGUAAUGAAUGUGCCAAACUGCUCGCCCAAUCAAGGAUAAGUAAAGUGAUUUACUAUGCCAAUGACAAAGCUGAAACACCAAAAUACAAGGCAUCUGCAAAAAUACUAAAAUUUGCCGGAAUAAAAUUACAAUGUUACAAACGACUCAAACGUGAAGACAGAGCUCCUGUGCGGAAAAAGAUCAUGCUUGAUUUUGAAAAGAUUGCUUUUCAGAGGACCUAAAAAAAUGAAUUUCAGACGUCUGCGUAUAUUUUUACUUUCUCUUACCUGAUGGUUUUAAAUAUGUGAUAUGUGUUCCUAACGUAAACAAGUCGUGUGGAUUAUUUUCACUCUAAAAAUUCUAGGAGUACUUAAAAAGAAACUUAC